Molecule: ribosomal RNA, 497 nt
Filed under: uncultured bacterium
Lineage: Bacteria
Description: partial 16S ribosomal RNA
Rfam family: Bacterial small subunit ribosomal RNA
Source: RNAcentral
GAUGAACGCUGGCGGCGUGCCUAAUACAUGCAAGUCGAGCGAACAAGGUAGGUACUUGCUCCUUUGGCGUUAGCGGCGGACGGGUGAGUAACACGUGGAUAACCUACCUAUAAGACUGGGAUAACUUCGGGAAACCGAAGCUAAUACCGGAUAACAUCUUUAAACACAUGGUUCAACAGUGAAAGACGGACUUGCUUUCACUUAUGAAUAGAUCCGCGCCUCAUUAGCUAUUUGGUAGGGUAACGGCUUACCAAGCCAACGUUCAGUAGCCGACCUGAGAGGGUGACCGGCAACACUGGACUUGAGAACCGGUCCAGCUCCCUACGGGAGCCACAAGUAGGGAAUUUUCGGCAAUGGGGGAAAGCCUGACGGAGAACCGCACGGUGAGUGAAGAAGGUCUUCGGACCUUAAACCCCUGUUAUAAGGGAAGAACAAGUGUGUAAGUGACUACUCACGUCUUGACGGUAACUACUCAGAAAGCCACGGCUAACUACGUG